UACGGAGGGAGCUAGCGUUAUUCGGAAUUACUGGGCGUAAAGCGCACGUAGGCGGCUUUGUAAGUUAGAGGUGAAAGCCUGGAGCUCAACUCCAGAAUUGCCUUUAAGACUGCAUCGCUCGAAUCCGGGAGAGGUGAGUGGAAUUCCGAGUGUAGAGGUGAAAUUCGUAGAUAUUCGGAAGAACACCAGUGGCGAAGGCGGCUCACUGGACCGGCACUGACGCUGAGGUGCGAAAGCGUGGGGAGCGAACAGG
Molecule: ribosomal RNA, 253 nt
Filed under: uncultured bacterium
Lineage: Bacteria
Description: partial 16S ribosomal RNA
Rfam family: Bacterial small subunit ribosomal RNA
Source: RNAcentral